GAUGAACGCUGGCGGCGUGCCUAACACAUGCAAGUCGAACGAACAGACGAGGAGCUGGUUCCUCUGACGUUAGCGGCGCACGGGAGAGUAACACGUGGAUAAUCCACCUAUAAGACUGGGAUAACUUCGAGAAGCCGGAUCUAAUACCAGAUAAUAUAUUCAACCGCAUGGUUCAAUAGAGAAUGAAGGUUUUGCUGUCACUUAUAGACGGAUCCGCGUCGCAUGAGCUAGUUGGUAAGGUACCGGCUUACCAAGGCGACGAGGCGUAGCCGCCCUGAGAGGGUGAUCGGCCACACUGGAACUGAGACACGGUCCAGACUCCUACGGGAGGCAGCAGUAGGGAAUCUUCCGCGAUGGGGGAAAGCCUGACGGAGCAACGCCGCGUGAGUGAUGAAGGUCUUCGGAUGGGAAAACGCUGUUAGUAGGGAAGAACAAAAGUGUAAUUAACUAGGAAGGUAAUGACGGUACCUAAUGAGGAAGCCACGGCUAACUACGUG
RNAcentral lists this ribosomal RNA (497 nucleotides) under uncultured bacterium. RNAcentral describes it as "partial 16S ribosomal RNA". It matches the Rfam family "Bacterial small subunit ribosomal RNA", at positions 28 to 507 of the family's 1533-position model. The record is from RNAcentral.